CAAUAGCGUAUAUUAAAGUUGUUGCGGUUAAAAAGCUCGUAGUUGGAUUUCUGCUGAGAACGACCGGUCCGCCCUUUGGGUGUGUAUCUGGCUCUUUCUUGGCAUCUUCUUGGUGAACGUUGCUGCACUUGACUGUGUGGAGCGCUACCCAGGACUUUUACUUUGAGGAAAUUAGAGUGUUUCAAGCAGGCAUACGCCUUGAAUACAUUAGCAUGGAAUAAUAAGAUAGGACCUCGGUUCUAUUUUGUUGGUUUCUAGAGCUGAGGUAAUGAUUAAUAGGGAUAGUUGGGGGCAUUCGUAUUUAACUGUCAGAGGUGAAAUUCUUGGAUUCGUUAAGGACGGACUACUGCGAAAGCAUUUGCCAAGGAUGUUUUCAUUGA
RNAcentral lists this ribosomal RNA (380 nucleotides) under uncultured eukaryote. Its description in RNAcentral is "partial 18S ribosomal RNA". It matches the Rfam family "Eukaryotic small subunit ribosomal RNA", at positions 592 to 976 of the family's 1831-position model. The record is from RNAcentral.